CCCUUAGAUGUUCUGGGCCGCGCGCGCGCUACACUGAUGCGUUCAACAAGUUUCCUUGGCCGAGAGGCCUGGGCAAUCUUCUUAAUAUGUAUCGUGAUAGGGAUAGAUUAUUGCAAUUAUUAAUCUUGAACGAGGAAUUCCUAGUAAACGCAGAUCAUCAAUCUGCAUUGAUUACGUCCCUGCCCUUUGUACACACCGCCCGUCGCACCUACCGAUUGGAUGUUCCGGUGAAGCCUCGGGAUGAGGACUGGUGCCUUUAUUGGCAUGAGUUGUUCAGAACUUGUCUAAACCUUAUCAUCUAGAGGAAGGUGAAGUCGUAACA
This 322-nucleotide ribosomal RNA is filed under the name uncultured eukaryote. Its description in RNAcentral is "partial 18S ribosomal RNA". It matches the Rfam family "Eukaryotic small subunit ribosomal RNA", at positions 1470 to 1796 of the family's 1831-position model. The record is from RNAcentral.